UACGAAGGGGGCUAGCGUUGUUCGGAAUCACUGGGCGUAAAGGGCGCGUAGGCGGCCGAUCAAGUCGGGGGGUGAAAGCCUGUGGCUCAACCACAGAAUUGCCUCGAUACUGGUUGGCUUGAGACCGGAAGAGGUAAGUGGAACUGCGAGUGUAGAGGUGAAAUUCGUAGAUAUUCGCAAGAACACCAGUGGCGAAGGCGGCUUACUGGUCCGGUUCUGACGCUGAGGCGCGAAAGCGUGGGGAGCAAACAGG
This 253-nucleotide ribosomal RNA is filed under the name uncultured bacterium. RNAcentral describes it as "partial 16S ribosomal RNA". It matches the Rfam family "Bacterial small subunit ribosomal RNA", at positions 524 to 776 of the family's 1533-position model. The record is from RNAcentral.